This is an RNA transcript of Macadamia integrifolia, 1456 nucleotides long. It is a transcript of the gene named serine/arginine-rich SC35-like splicing factor SCL28, with no coding region annotated. The record is from RefSeq and is a predicted model, not a curated record. NCBI's taxonomy places the organism in Eukaryota, Viridiplantae, Streptophyta, Magnoliopsida, Proteales, Proteaceae. The transcript has 7 exons.
GGAGAGCGCCAUUUAUUUUUAGGGUUUAUAUAAAUUCGUCCAUAAGACAUUGUGGUGUUUAUGUCUCAAUUUGUUCUCUGAGAAGUCUUUAUCAGUUCUCGUUGGGUCUGCUCUGCUCUGGGUAUUCAAUCAUUUACGGCAUUUGGUUUAGGGUUUUUGUGACGAGAAGGAAGGAAGGAAGGAGGAUGGGAAGGUACAGAAGCCGUAGCAGGAGCUACAGUCCCCGGCGCAGCAGAAGCCCUCCUCGACGGAAGAGAUACGAGGAUCCUAGGGACAGGUACCGAGGUGGGAGGUCGUCUUAUGGGGAUAGACGAUCUGCUCCUUCUGGAUUACUUGUUCGAAAUAUAGCACUCGACGCAAGGCCCGAAGAUCUUAGGAUCCCUUUUGAACGUUUUGGUCCCGUGAAGGAUGUGUAUCUUCCAAAGAACUACUAUACUGGAGAGCCACGAGGCUUUGGAUUUGUUAAAUUCCGCAAUGCUGAUGAUGCUGCUGAAGCUAAGAUGCAAAUGAACCAUCAAGUUAUUGGUGGACGUGAGAUAACCAUUGUUUUUGCUGGAGAGAACAGAAAAACUCCUCAAGAAAUGCGCACGAAUUUACGCACAAGUGACCGAUAUGGAGGAGGCUAUAGAAGGCGAUCGCCAGUAAGGUCCCCGCGACGUCGACAUCAUUCUUAUUCACGGUCACCUUCUCCACCCAGGCGUGGCUCGAGAUUAUAAAGUGAAAUGAGAGACUAAAAGAAAUCAUCGAUUAGUAAAGACUAAAGAGAAAAGGGAUAAAGUGACUACUUGCUUACUUAUCUUUCAAAGUCAUUCGAGAAGUAUUCAUUACUGAUCUCAUCUUCAUCAACUGUAACCAACGAAUGGCUUGGUCUGUCCAAAUUUUUGGAUUUUGGCUUGUAAGGCUCAGCGCCACUAAAUUGAACGGUCAAAACCAUGGUUUGUGAGAUAGAUUACAAUCACAAGAAAGCUUUAUUUUCCUUUCAUUAUUCACGUUUUAAAAUUUGAUAUCUUGGUUUUGUAUACUAUCCAGUUAAGAAAGAAUCUAGAGCUUAUAAAUGCCAAAAGAGAGAAAUCUUGAUCUCCAGAGAAUGGGAGCCCAUUGAAGUUCAUACUGCUAGAGGUAGAGGGUGACUUCUGGUGGGGGUGUCCAUCAAGAAAAAUGAUAAUUUGGGUUUUAGAGACAUUGGGGCAAAGAGAGCUGUGAAGUUAUCAGUUGCUGAUCAACCACCUCACUUUGUGGUAGAGCUUAACUCAAACAGUUUGUGGACUGAAAGUUUCAUAUUUUUGUCAGAUAUCUGAAAAUGGUGGCAGAGACGGAGACCGUGGUGCAAAGGAUGAUAAUUACUCACCACCGCGGUUGAGAUCGAGAUCGAGAUCAAGAUCCAGAUCCAGAACUAGAUCGAGAUCCAUCUCACGGUCUCCCCCUCCUCUCAAUGGGAGGGACUACAGGAGGUCCC